GGACCAUCAUGUCGGUCGUGCCUCGGUACGUACUGGUAUCGUUGGUUUCUCCCUUCUGACGAACCAUGAUGUCAUUUAUUUGGUGUCGUGGGAAAUCAGGACUGUUACUUUGAAAAAUUAGAGUGUUUAAAGCAGGCUCACGCUUGAAUACAUUAGCAUGGAAUAAUGAAAUAGGACGUUUAAUUCUAUUUUGUUGGUUUCUAGGAUUGACGUAAUGAUUAA
This 222-nucleotide ribosomal RNA is filed under the name uncultured Glomeromycotina. RNAcentral describes it as "partial 18S ribosomal RNA". The stretch from base 46 to 222 matches the Rfam family "Eukaryotic small subunit ribosomal RNA", at positions 693 to 872 of the family's 1831-position model. Lineage: Eukaryota; Fungi; Glomeromycota. The record is from RNAcentral.